This is a long non-coding RNA of Oreochromis niloticus (Nile tilapia), 611 nucleotides long. RefSeq lists it as uncharacterized. Lineage: Eukaryota; Metazoa; Chordata; Actinopteri; Cichliformes; Cichlidae. The record is from RefSeq and is a predicted model, not a curated record. The transcript has 2 exons.
CCAGCACUCUCACUGAAUCAUCACCAGAUCUUCUUCUAACCCAAGUUGUUCUUGUGCAUUAUAGUAUUUGACGUAUGCUUACCUGGUGUUUUCUCCCUGUGGUUUUCAGGAAAGGAAACUUCCGGUUCAUUUUUUCACUCUCAAAAAUACUCAUCUCUUCUGGACACUGGUCUGAUCAGUAAUCAUGGUCACAGCCCAAGUUCUGUUGGAUAUCCAUUUAUCUACCUGCCUCCCUGCCGCUGCUCAAAGGAUUCACGGAAAAUACUCCGUCUGGAUCCUCGGCUUCUCACCCGGACCACUUCAACUGCCUUCACCUCACACCAGCCUCCACCUGCAAAACUUUGCCACUGACCUCCCCUGCCUGAGCCACAAACCGCUCCCUGAGUCUCCCUAGCUCCUGUUAUGACGAUUCACAGCCCCAUUGGUUUUCACAGCUCAUAGUUCACGUUUCUAUUUCAUAGCUCAUAGUUCAUGUUUCUGCUUCAUAGUUCAUAGUUCAUAGUUCAUGUUCACUGCUCAUGUUCGGAUGUAUUGCUUGUGUUCUAAAUUAUCUAGUUCACAGCCAUUAUAUUCUGUCAAAGUCACUUGUAAAUAAAAGCUUUGUUAUCAUG